AUUGAACGCUGGCGGCAUGCUUUACACAUGCAAGUCGAACGGUAGAGGGGGCAACCCCUUGAGAGUGGCGAACGGGUGAGUAAUGCAUCGGAACGUGCCCAGUCGUGGGGGAUAACUACUCGAAAGAGUGGCUAAUACCGCAUACGACCUGAGGGUGAAAGCGGGGGACCGAAAGGCCUCGCGCGAUUGGAGCGGCCGAUGUCAGAUUAGGUAGUUGGUAGGGUAACGGCCUACCAAGCCGACGAUCAAUAGCUGGCGUGAGAGCGCGACCAGCCACACUGGAACUGAGACACGGUCCAGACUCCUACGGGAGGCAGCAGUAGGGAAUAUUGGACAAUGGGCGGAAGCCUGAUCCAGCCAUGCCGCGUGGAGGAUUAAGGCCCUCUGGGUUGUAAACUCCUUUUAUCUGGGAAGAACCAUUCCGACUUGUCGGAACAUGACGGUACCAGAGGAAUAAGCACCGGCUAACUCCGUGCCAGCAGCCGCGGUAAAUCGUGUGA
Molecule: ribosomal RNA, 500 nt
Filed under: uncultured bacterium
Lineage: Bacteria
Description: bacterial SSU rRNA
Rfam family: Bacterial small subunit ribosomal RNA
Source: RNAcentral